UGAGAUUAAAGUAUUUAUUAAUCAUUUAUGUAAUUUCGGAAAACAUUUAUUAUUUAAGGGUGACACGUGGCAGCCUGGUAGUGGUCCACGUGGCAGUGGCAUGCUGACAUCAGCGUUGGCUGGGUCAACAGUCAACGGUGGGCCCCAUAGGUGGGCUCUACGGGAGGGCCCACCGGUGGGCCCACCUGCCACGUGGCGCCUAGGCGGCCACG
This 212-nucleotide long non-coding RNA is filed under the name Setaria italica (foxtail millet). RNAcentral's name for it is "long non-coding RNA (SITA_LNC004330)". Lineage: Eukaryota; Viridiplantae; Streptophyta; Magnoliopsida; Poales; Poaceae. The record is from RNAcentral.